AUUGAACGCUGGCGGAAUGCUUUACACAUGCAAGUCGAACGGCAGCACGGGGGCAGCCCUGGUGGCGAGUGGCGAACGGGUGAGUAAUACAUCGGAACGUGCCCGGUCGUGGGGGAUAACGUAGCGAAAGUUACGCUAAUACCGCAUACGAUCUGAGGAUGAAAGCGGGGGACCUUCGGGCCUCGCGCGAUCGGAGCGGCCGAUGUCAGAUUAGGUAGUUGGUGGGGUAAAGGCCUACCAAGCCGACGAUCUGUAGCUGGUCUGAGAGGACGACCAGCCACACUGGGACUGAGACACCGCCCAGACUCCUACGGGAGGCAGCAGUGGGGAAUUUUGGACAAUGGGCGCAAGCCUGAUCCAGCCAUUCCGCGUGCAGGACGAAGGCCUUCGGGUUGUAAACUGCUUUUGUACGGAACGAAAAGGCUCUGGCUAAUACCUGGGGCUCAUGACGGUACCGUAAGAAUAAGCACCGGCUAACUACGUG
Molecule: ribosomal RNA, 484 nt
Filed under: uncultured bacterium
Lineage: Bacteria
Description: partial 16S ribosomal RNA
Rfam family: Bacterial small subunit ribosomal RNA
Source: RNAcentral